RNAcentral lists this ribosomal RNA (460 nucleotides) under uncultured bacterium. RNAcentral describes it as "partial 16S ribosomal RNA". It matches the Rfam family "Bacterial small subunit ribosomal RNA", at positions 338 to 795 of the family's 1533-position model. The record is from RNAcentral.
CCUACGGGAGGCAGCAGUGAGGAAUAUUGGUCAAUGGGCGGAAGCCUGAACCAGCCAAGUCGCGUGAGGGAUUAAGGCCCUGCGGGUCGUAAACCUCUUUUGCCGGGGAGCAGAGGUCCGGACGUGUCCGGGCCGGGUGAGUACCCGGAGAAAAAGCAUCGGCUAACUCCGUGCCAGCAGCCGCGGUAAUACGGAGGAUGCGAGCGUUAUCCGGAUUUAUUGGGUUUAAAGGGUGCGUAGGCGGAAUGCCAAGUCAGCGGUAAAAUCGCGGGGUUCAACAUCACUCUGCCGUUGAAACUGGCGGUCUUGAGUGGGCGAGAAGUAGGCGGAAUGCGUGGUGUAGCGGUGAAAUGCAUAGAUAUCACGCAGAACUCCGAUUGCGAAGGCAGCAUACCGGCGCCCAACUGACGCUGAAGCACGAAAGCGUGGGUAUCGAACAGGAUUAGAUACCCGGGUAGUC